RNAcentral lists this ribosomal RNA (253 nucleotides) under uncultured bacterium. RNAcentral's name for it is "partial 16S ribosomal RNA". It matches the Rfam family "Bacterial small subunit ribosomal RNA", at positions 524 to 776 of the family's 1533-position model. The record is from RNAcentral.
UACGGAGGGUGCAAGCGUUAUCCGGAUUCACUGGGUUUAAAGGGUGCGUAGGCGGAAUGAUAAGUCAGUGGUGAAAGCCCCGAGCUCAACUUGGGAAUUGCCAUUGAUACUGGAUGGCUUGAGGUUGGGAGAGGGAUGUGGAAUUCCAGGUGUAGCGGUGAAAUGCGUAGAUAUCUGGAGGAACACCGGUGGCGAAGGCAGUGUUCUGGGCCAGUACUGACGCUGAGGAGCGAAAGCGUGGGGAGCAAACAGG